UUUUUGUAAUUUCGUGACCUCUUCAAGGAGUCACUUUUGGGCGUCGCAAUUAAUGCGAUUUGCACCAAUCAAGUUUUGAAGAGAUAUUUUGACCCUCCCGAUAGCCAUUAGGUUUAGGUUUGCAUUCAUAUAGUAAACAUCCAAAUGUGAUAAGUUUUUAGGUUAAAUUAAGAAAAUUUUUGACUAAGUCACGCAACUAGUCUUGGCUAGGUUGAAAGGGUACCUUGGAUUUUAUCCUUGCCUUUCUUUUCUUCAACCGUGACUCCUGAACUUUUUUCUCUGAUUUUCGAAGACUUGGAGUCGUUUAAAAAGGGUUUUCUCUACUUUUUAUUUGAAAUUCAUUUUUUAGGUGAUUUGGUACACUUUAAUUCAAUACCAAGUGGUGACUCCUAUUUUUUUUAUUAAAAACCCUUUUUAAACUUUUAUUUUUGGGUCAAAAUCGUCGCACUUUUUAAGUCCCAUUUAGGCCCAUUUUCUAAAAAUUAAAAACUAAUUUUUUACUCAAAAUUAAUUAAAAUUCAUUUUUCUAAACCCGAGAUCGUAAAUUUUAUUUUUCUUCAAAAAAUGGGGAGCGACAAUAGUCAAAAUGCAAAACAAGUUUGCAAGCUAGAAAACGAAGUUGCUGUCUGUCGGGAGACGUUUGAUCUUGAUCAAACAUGUUUUACUGGCUAUUCCUUUAUACAUCUUUGCGGAUUUGGAACCCCCAAAAAGUGUUUUGCGCCAAAUUGAGUAGAUUAUGUCUCAAUUUUUCUAGGAAGAAGUGGAUCAAAUUGAGUUGAUUAUGGCAUUUGGAUCACAUCUGCGAGGUGCUUACACUGGAGGACAGGUCGCAUAUUCUCAAUGGAAAGGUUUCAAAUCUCAAUAGGUCGGGAUCUUCUAGUCUGGACGGCCACCUAGAUGAUUAUUUCAAACUUCAGUUAGCCUUGGAAAAGCUUCGAAAGCCUGCCAAUCCCUUAAUUUCGUGAAAGCUCAUUUGAGACCGGUGUAUUCCUCUCAAAAUAUCGAUCUUCAUGUGGCAUUUGCUUAAUUGCAUGCUUCCCUUUCUAGAUAUAUUGCAGCAAUUUUGUUUUCAUUUACCUUCAAAAUGCUCUUUUUGCACCACCGAGGAGACUUUGAGACAUUCCUUCAUAGAGUGUUAGGUAGCUAAUCAAGUUUGGGAGUGGUUUGAGCAGUUGCUAGGUCUUCAAAGAGUUGCUACGGAUUCACUCAUACAAAAACUACAAAGUUGGUGGAUGCAUACCUUUGGGAGCUCUCUAAAAGCUGCCUUAGCUCAUUUUUUGGCUGUGUUGAUUUGUUGGGAAUUGUGGAAGGCAAGGAAUAAGGCCAUUAUGAGGAUGUGGUCAUAUCUCCAGAUCAAAUUUGCCGUCAGGUCUCUUGGUCACUUCACAGUAUUGAAGCAGUUCAUUCCUUUACUACCUCAAGUCAAGAAGACGAUGUCUGGCUGAAUUUGGGAUUGUUACCCUUUUCAAGAAGGCUGGCAUCAACAAAAUGCAUCACUUUAGUUUGGUCCUUGCCAUUCUUCCCCUACAGUAAGUUGAAUGUUGAUGGCUCAUCUCUUGGAACCUAGGUUAUUCAGGAGGACGGGGUAUUAUAAGGAAUCCUAAUGGCCACGUGGCCACGUGCAGGGUGUUCUCUCAUUCUUCUAUGGAUUUCACACGAACAUGGAAUUAGAGGUGAGGGCUCUUUUGGAAGGUCUCCAACUUUGUACAUCUCUUGGAUUAACAAAGGUGAUAGUGUACAUGGAUUUUGUGCAAUUGCUUAACUUAGUAAAACAAAUUUCAGCUCCGCCUUGGAAGAUUGAUGUAAUCAUUAGGCAAAUACAGUAGGUGUUAACCCAAGUCGAGUUUGUUUUGGAACAUUGCUAUAAGGAGACCAACUCAACAGUUGAUGCACUUGUGAAGCAAGCAGCAAUUACGUGACAAUCAUUAUUUAUAAUGCUACCACUCUAUCAAAGCAAGUGAAAGGAAUCUUAUGUUUAGAUGCUAGACAAUUCCUUUAUAUUCAUAUAAAGCAAUAAUUGUAACGGAGUAGUACCCCUAGUCUUUUAGCUCUAUUCUCACACUACUCUGUAACUUUAUCAAUUCAGAUUAAUAAAUUGGGGCUGGCAUCUUGCCCCGUGUACGGGGCUUUAAAAAAAGUUGCUCAAAUACAUGUGAUUGAUACAAAAUGAAACUUAUACAAAUUUAUAAUUUAAAGAGUUAGUUUCAUUCUUGAAAACCCUAAUUUCCUUACGAAGGUAAGAAAAUAAAUGUCCUUUAAAGUAUGUAAAAUGAACACUUAUCAAAUUUCCCCACACUUAGAUCAUUGUUUGUCCUCAAGCAAUAGGAAAAACCAUACAACAAUGAUUUAAGAAUGAACUAAAUAAUGUGAAACUUUUAAAAUGCAACUCCUCAUCAUAAGUUUGUAAACUAUCAUUAUGCAAUUAUUCAAAUUGCCAUAAAUACUCAUAAUAUCAAGUAAAAGAGAAAUAAUUAUAUCUUAAUUUCAUAUCAAACUUAAUCUUUUAGUCUAACUAAAUUGUACAAGUAAUCAAAUCAUAUAAUUACUUCAAGUUUUUUCUCUUCCAUAUCACUUUUCUUACUUCAAGAGGGAUUUAUUCUUUUUUUACUAUCAAUAGCUCUCUCAAAUUGUGAAGAGGCUUUUUGAUGCGAAAAUCGACAUUUUUAAAUGAAGAUCCCUAGUUACUCAAAACCUUACUUAUUCAAUCUACAUUAUAUACUCUUAAUUUAAAUACCUUUUGAUGCGAAAUUUAACAUUUGUAUAUACUAACCCCUGGUUACUUAGUACUUAAAUCAUAUGAGGAACACAAUUUUUUUUAAUCAAGGUAAAGGUUGAUGAAUUCCCUCAAGAAAUUAAAGAAUAGGAAGAGAAUAACUCUAUUAACUAUAUCAAUCAUUUACUUAUGAAAUCUAUUAAAGCAAGAAAUUUUUUUUAACAACAAAAUUUUAGGCAUAAUUUUCUCUAUUUCACCAAAAUAUGCAAAAAUUCUAAUCACAUAAUAAUACUUUCCAAGCCAAAUAUGAAAUUGACUUCCUUAGUCAUAUAAAUCUAUUUCAAAAUAUAGGAAAAAUUCAAUUCUAAUAGCAGGAACUAGUGAACUUUUGAAAACUUUUGGGGGUAAUUUUGCAAUUUGGCACAAGAUUUUCAAAAAAAUUUUGACAGAAUUUCCCUUUAUAUCUGGGCGAAACUCCUUGCUAACAAACUCAAAAUUUUCAAAAAUACAAGCACAACUAACAUGUCCAAUAUCAAGGCCAACAAGAAUUCAUGAAGCGUAAAUAUCUCCUCCCCCACACUUAGAAUACACAUUGUCUUCAAUGUGUGGGAAAGAUAAAACAACAAAAGAAAGAAAUACUCCCUAACUACAAAGGAUGAAGGCCAGUGCAACCAUGAGUUUACAAACAUCUAGUCUACUGCUUAAUAAAUACUGUAGAUAAGUCAGAAGUAGCACGGCAUAAGUCCUACUAUUAGUAAUCCAUAAAGCAAAAGAAAUACUACUAAAAUUGAAACAAGGACAAUAGCAAAAAGAAACAGAGAGCAAAAUUGAGGCAAUGGCUCCAGAAGUGGCUGUAGUGCCCUGAAAUCCUUAAUCCUCACUAGAAGGUGCAUGAGUGAAUGGUUAGAGUUGGGAAUUGCCCGAGUGAUCCUCGAUGCGACGCACUCGAAUGUCUUAGCAUUCAAAAUUGGCAUCAAUUUGAUCAAAGUGUUCCUCCACCUGGGUUUGAAAACAAUUAAUUAUGUUGAAAAGGUGCUACCAAUUUGAUUGGGAAGGUGGAGGUGGCAGUGGUGGUGCAGACGUUGAAGAGCUAGUUUCAUCUUUAUUUCAUGGAGUGGACAAUGAAGACUACUGAUCCCUUGCUUGGCUAGAUCUUCUAGGCCUUGGUGGAUGAAAAAUAUCAGCAGCCCUUAUAGUCAAUUCAUGUAGAGUAUAUUCAUUAAUCUCAUAAAUAACCCUCACAUGCACCUUUUCCAUGUCUUUUGUAUUAACUCUCUCUUAUUCAAAUAGCAACGAUAAGAGAGUGGGAACCCAAACCUAAAAUUGGUAGUAUGAUGCCUAGCAACCGUCUUUAUAUAGUUGAUAAUGAUAUUCAAGAGUGGAAUCUAAGCAUAUGGAGAAGUUCGAUUGUGGAACAUUCGAUCCAAGAAAUAAAGAUCACUAUUGCAGACUUCAUUCAUGCUACUCUUCUUGGGAAUCACAUUUCUUGAAAACAAAUGUAGGAUCAACCGAUGGCGUGGUUCAAAUGUACUAGCUGUGAGUGUAGAUCUUUGAGAAGUUCUAGUGUAAUCAAAAGAUUGGUUAAAGCGCAUCAUGACUAAAAUAGGAUCCCAACCGUCAUUAGGUGAGUGAAACUCCUUUUUCAAGUCAAUGCUUGGACCUUCACUAUUGCACCCAAGAUGAGCCACCAAUGUAUCUCGAGUGAUUGUCAAUUGCUUCCCAUGGAUACAAGACUUGAUGACCUCUCUACUAUGCCCACCUUUGUUCAUUAUAUUGGCGUAGAACUUUUUGAUCAAAGUUGGAUAGAUAUAACUUGGAAGAGAUAAUAUUGGAGCCCAACCAAGAAUGUUAAAAUGCCUCACUGAUUUGAAAAUUUGAAUCUAUUUCUGGGGCUACAUGCAUUUCAUAAACGAACUCUCUCUGCUCAUGUGCCUUAAACCAUUCUUGAUUCUCCUUUGGAGUGAAUCUAAUCGGAUCAUAAUUUAGGAGAACUCGCCAACUUGUUGAACGUCUUGUGGAUUGAGUUCAUGGUGGUGGAGAUGGAGAAGAAACAUGUUCUAGUUAUGGAUAUAUCUCAUCCUUACAAUUAUGGACUUAUUCCAAAAGAUAAACAGGUUAUAGGCUUGUCCGGUUAAUUAGUAUUUUCUAUGGUUCUGUUUGAUAACAUAAUUUAAUACUUAAAUUUAAUGGAUUCAGAUCUUAACAUAUUCAGAUGGUUUGAUAAUAAAAAAUUGAACAUCUUAAUUAAUUAAGUGAUACUGAAUUUUCUAGACAAAACAUGCUCUCAAAAUUAAGUGAUAAACUAUUAGCUUAUCGCUGAACGUGAUAUACACUCAAAUAUAUUAGAUUUAAUAUUUAACAAUUCAAUAAGCUAAUGAAUUCAGAUUUCAAAUUUUAGAUUUUAAACUUUAAUUUUAUCAAACACCCUCUAAGUCUCACCUUCCUCACUUAACCCAAAUUUCUUCUCCCUCCCUUUUCCACUAGCUCCGCCUCUCUUCACUUCCUUCUCUGCCCCCACCCAUCGCUCCAAUAUUUCUCCUCUUCUCCGCCAUGGCCAAAUCAAUACACAACUCUUUCCUUCGGCUCCUGCAAACGUUGCCUAUCUAGCUUUUUUGUCGAACUCGAUAGUUUCAUAUUAUAUUUUCCUCUUAUAUUAAUUUUCUUGUACCCAAAUCUUCCUUCCCUACAUAAAAAUUUCCACUCAAAAUUUAAUGCCCUGUUUGGGUUGCAUUUUUUUAUGAGUUUUUAUAGAAAAAUAUUGUGACACUUUUUUUAGAUAUGAUGUUUUUGGAUUGUAUCUUCGAGGAGUUGCUCCUUGUUUGGUAAGCCAUUUUUCAUCAAAAAAUUUCUAGAUGGUUCGUGAACAUAUUUCUCAAUCACUUUUUUUCCCCUUACAUAUAUCAAAUCGUUACAGUAUAUUUUCUAUAAAAAUUCUAGAAAAUUGCAAUUCAAACAGGAAAUAAUACAUUUACAUCUAUUUGAAAUGUUGAAUUAUUGCCAAACAGCAGCAAUAGCAAGCAAACUUCGAACUAUAGUAUCCAAACAAAAUAGGGGCAAAUGCUUCUUCAUAAUGAAUGACACGUUCUUCUGCAAAAUCCUUGGCAACUAGAUAAGCCCUUGUAUCCCUGAUCAGUGGUGCUAUCAGAUCGAGUCUCGAUCUCACGUAUGUAUUUUAUCCAGAGCGGAUUUUCCAAGAGCUAGCUAGAUCAACAAGAUCCCAUGAAUGUGUAUAUUUUGACAACAGCUUGCAGUUGGUGGAAAAAAUGGUGGUGGAGCAUUGACAUGCUUCAGAAAGUAGGAUCAUAACUGGAUUAGACAUGCUUCAGAAAGCAGGAUCAUUGACAGAAAGAAUGGUGGAAAAGUCAUGAAGAUCGAGUAGAAAGUUCUCUUAGCUAAGGUUAUUCUAAUAUAGCAGAUGGUGAUGGAGCACGUUAUCGUAAGACUUAUUAGGUUAUUCUAAUAAUGUUGCAUCUCCGGAUGUACCAAAACUCUUGAGAACCAAACAAAUCAUAAUUAGGUGCCGACUGAGAGUUGGAUUGAUAACUUUGAAUUAUCUUGAUUAGGAAAGAGAACUAACAAAGGAAUUAGUGACAAAGGUAAUAUUGAGUUAGAAAUACAUAAAACUAACUUGGCCAAAUUAAGAAUAUUUGGCAACUUUCUUGUUUUUAUUCCUAUCUUAGAUUUGUUAACAAAAACUAACAUACAUAUAUAUAUAUAGAACCUUACAGUUUUUUUUUUGAAGGAUCGAACCUUACAAACUUAAUAAUAUAUUAAAUCGUAGCCAAGAAUAAUGAAAAUUAGUCUAGUAAUUGACAUAUUUUACUCCACUAUAUUUUGCUUAACCUUAACCCACGGGUUUCGAAGAAUAAGGCGUUUCAAUUUUAGAACCUUGUGCAUGGGCUAAUACCCGGACCUAAUCAUAGGAAAUAGGAUACGGCUUAUGCCGGGGCUUGUUUAUUUUGGAGCUUACAUCAUUUAAAUUCAAGGGUUUAACCUACUCAUCAGAAGAAUUGACUGACUUUCACCAAGAAAGAGAAGUGAAGGGGGUAACACUUCACCUUUAUAAAAUAUGAUGAGUGGUGCAUCUCUGUACAUCAUUGGAGUUAAAUUGUCAAGAUAGAUAAUCAAUCCAGUUGAUUAAAAAGUUUGGAAAAAUAUAGUUUUUAGUCCCUAAUAUUUAAUACUUGUGCGGUUUUAGUUUUUAAAGUUCAGAUAAAAAUAAAUCCGGUCCCUGAUGUUUAGUACCUGUGUAGUUUUAGCCAUUAAAGUUUUGGCAAGAGCAAAUUUAGUCCUCAAUGUGUCCAAUUUCAAGCAAAUUUAGGAUAUUUGAAGAAUUAUUUUGAAUUAUUCACAGAAUUUAGUCACGUGCAGUAAUGUGCAUGUUAAAUUGAAUUCAAAAAAAUAAAAAAGUAAAAUAGCUGCUAAUUUUGAACAAUAAGACUAGGACUAAUAAUUCAUGUACUAAUUAAUUAGUAUGCACUUUAGAUACAUGAUAGAUAUGCAAAAUUAGAUUUUAAAUUCAGAUUCAGAUUAAUUGUUAUGCAUCAAAUAGUAAAAAUAGAUACAUUAUCAGUAUAUUAAAAAUUAAUUAUUUAUUAAUAACUAAAUAUAGAAUCUUCCACAUAUCUCUAGAUUAGAAAAUUGUGAAUCUCAAAAAUCAAAUUAAAGAGGGUAAGAAUGGUUGUUGGUGCAAUUGUUCACGACUGUUUUGGAAUGAUGCACAAUCUUUUUCCAAAAAUAAAUUUAUCAGAAACUAAAAAUAAACCUUAUUUGUAACUUUGUAAUAGCAUGUGGUAUUCAAUUAUCAUUCACGUAAGUCGAUAAUUGUGCUAGAAUUACACGAGAACAUUUCCGGUUUUUUUUUUUCAAAUUAGUGGCAAUAUCAUGAACAUCAAGCUAAUGGAUGGGUUGUCUACUUCUAUCUCACUCCUUUUGUUUUGAGAAAAAACAAUUAAAUACUCCUUUUUGUUUUGAGAAAGAAGAAAAAAAGUCCAUUUUAACCUCACCAUCCAAAUCCAAUGAUUAGUUUUAAUCGUUGUUAAAAAAUAAACAAACAAAUAAAUCAGGGAGAAAUAACAUUUUUAGUUCCAAUGUAUGGCCCAUGUGCCAUAUUGGUCUUUAAUGUUUUGACUAUCAAAACGAAUUUGGUUUCUAAAGUUUCUAAUUUUAUGCAAAUUUAGAAUAAUUGAUAGAAAUCUAACAAUUCUAACGGUUAAUCAACUUCUUGUUAUUCAAUAGUAUUCAGUUUGUACUUUUGGCCCCCGUUAUUUAGAGUUUGAAUUAUUAUAGUCCUUUAAGUUUCAAAUAAUGAUAUUAAGGGUUUUAGGAUGGAAAAAGAUACAAACUGAAUUGGAAUUGCCUUACAUAAGUACAGAGUGCCAACUAAACUUCUUUUUCCUGCUUGUUUUAUUUUCUUUGUUUUAUCUAUUCAUGCCACUAGUUUUUCCAUAUCUUUCUUUUUUUGGCACAUAUUAUUGGUCUUGAAUUUGGCAUAAUAUAUGCAAUUAUUCUUUGCAUUAUGAAUAAUUAAUAGACCAUGAGUUCUAUAAUUUUUUUUCACUUACAUUGAUUAGUAAACAUGUAACUAAAUAUUCCUUUGAAAUAUGUGCAAUAUACACUGUAUGUAAAUUAAGUUGAUAAUCAAAUAGCUUUUCCUUUCUUUUUUCUUCUCCUUUUUUUUAACAUUUCAAUAUUAUCAAGUAAGUUUCAAAUGAAAUAUAUAUUUUAUAGAAUUAUUUGAAUUAUUCAAAAAAAAUUAUCAAUGUUAUGAAUAUUAAAAUAAUUGCUUUAAAAAUUUAUCAGUGGAGCGUAUAGUUUUAAUACAAAGGAAAGAUAAGGAAAAUUUUUUUUUUUCAAAAUUGUCUAAAAGCACUUUUACUGGUAUUUACCUCACUAGUUAUUGUAUAACAGUUUCUAACUACAACCAUUUGAAGUCCAUGUCCUCAAGUAUUGCAAGAAUUUGUAUAAUGGUAGUUAGAUUAAAGUUACACGUUUAAAUUAAUAUUCUUUUUUCUUUAGCUAGCUUUACCUUAUAUAUUUUUCAUGUAUAGCUUUUAAGUUUGUAACUAAUUUAAUAAAGAGUCACUCUUUAGCUAAAGGAUAGUUUUGUUACGAUGUGAAGUGUUUUUUGAGAUUUUUGUCGGUAUUUAGGAACACAUUUGUUAUAGUACAUAUUUUAUUCAAUUCAUAUUCAAUUUAUUUUAUGACUAUGCUUAUUUAAAAGCUAAGGGACUAUAUUAAUCGAAAGUUCAAACUUUAGGAAUAAAAAUUUUAAAGUCAAAACUUUUGAAUGACACGAAUUUAAUUUUGAGUAUUAGUUAUUCUAAACUUGCUUAAAUAUGAAAAUUUGAAAAUUAAAUUUAUUUUGCUCGAAAGAAAUAUUAGUAGAGGUGUCAAAAUGGGUGAUUUGGAUGGAUUUGCGUUCGGUAAAAUGGGUAAUGGGUAUAAGUGAGUCAACCCAUUUAUACCCAUUUAAUUAGAUAAGUAUAAAUGGGUAAGUCAAAAAUUGAAUUGGGUAACCCAAUUAUCCAUUUAUAACCCAUUAAUUUUAACUUUUUUUAAACUCAUUUAAAUUCAUUUCUGCAAACUAAAUUAUCAAUGUAUACCACAUUUUGCACCUAUCAUUAGUUUUAAAUAUUUACUUAUAAUACUCAAUAAGCCUAAUUAUCAAUUUUUCCCAUCCGUAUUCUAUGUUGUAAAAUUACAUAUUAUUUAAUAAUUGAACAAUAAGAAUAUAAAAAUUGAACUAAGUACUAUAAAAGUCAACAUAAAAACUUAAUUAAAAAAUCUUGAAACCCUAGCAUUUUUUUUGUAUGUAAAUUUAAAUUUUUAAUUUGAAAAGAUAAAUUGGUAAUACUGAAAAAUGGGCAAGUUAACAAACUAAGAAAAAAUAAAAUGAUAAGAUAAAACCAACAAAUAAUAAUAAUAAUAAUGAAACAAAAGUAGUUAAUAUCAUAACAAAAUGAAAAAUUUGAAAAAAAAAGGGUGGGGAAAGAGAGGAGGUUUGAUGGGUUACAAUUCUAAAUGGGUUAAUUGGAUUUGAUGGGUUAUCCAAUAAUACCCAUAUAUUAAAUAGGUAUUAUUGAGUAACCCAUUUAUAUUCAUAUGCAAAAAUUUAAGAUACCCAUAUCCAUCUAUUUAUGAGCGGAUAUGGGUAAAUUUAAUUAAAUGGGUUUGUUUGCCACCUAUAAAUAUUAGGGACUAAUUUGACACAUUGGCCAAACAUUGAGGAUAAAAACUGCAAUUUUCCAAUAAAUAAGCACCAACCUGCUUACAAAAUGCGUAGUUAACGAAUUGGUUCCUCAGCUGUCACCUACUACGUCAGAGGCUCAACCACCAUACUUUCUUCCACCAACUCUUUCCUCUCUUUCCUCUCUGUACUGGAGUUGACUCUUUCCUCUCUGUCGUGUGUGAAAAUGGCGGCAGCAGCAGGAGAAGAAGUGAAAGUGCCCAGAAUCAAGCUCGGUUCGCAGGGGCUUGAAGUUUCAGCUCAGGGGCUGGGCUGUAUGGGCAUGUCAGCCUUCUAUGGCCCGCCCAAGCCCGAGCCCGACAUGAUCAAGCUCAUCCACUAUGCUAUUGACCGAGGCAUCACCCAUUUCGACACCGCCGAGAUGUACGGGCCGUACACCAACGAAAUACUCGUCGGCAAGGUACUGUAGCUUGAACUGUAUGAUUCUUGAUUGUUGUACAUCAUGCUUUAGUACUUGUACCUUAGUCCAGUUUCUCAGCUCCCCAGUUACAAAUGUGCAAGUGCAGUGGUUAGAUAGCUCCUUUCCUUGGUUAACUUUUUGGAAUUGAUAUUGCGUUGGGACUCAGUAUUUUUUUUAAAAAAAUAUUUUUAAAGACUCAACAGUAUCUUCUGUGUCUCUGCUUCGCAUGGUUUAUACAAAAUCCAAGGUGAAAUUUGGAUUAGAGGAAACUGUAAAUGAACUAGAGGAAUGAAUCGGCUAUAGCUCCUAUAUGAACUACUGGGAAGAUCAUAGCGAAGAAGUAGUCGAGACCUAACAAAAGGAGUAAACCUGAAGUGUUGUGAAAGACUAUGAGUUAGAAAUAGUUUGGCCUCUUUAGACAGGAUCAUCAUAUAAAGGAAACAAAUAGCAUAAUAUUAGUUUGUAGAAGUAGGCAAGAUUGAGAUAUAUUCUGUCCUGAGAACUGAUCAGGUAAAACUGUUUGUAUUGAUAUGUAUUAAUCUGUGUACCCUGGAUGAUUAAUGUUUUGAAAGAAUGAAUGUAGGCUUUGAAGGGAGGGAUACAAGAGAAAGUGGAGAUAGCAACAAAAUUUGGGGUCAGAUUUGUGGAUGGAAAGCGGGAGGUUUGUGGUGAUCCAGCUUAUGUAAGGGCUGCAUGUGAGGGAAGCUUGAAACGACUUGGUGUUGACUGCAUUGAUCUCUACUAUCAACAUCGGAUUGAUACACGUCUUCCCAUUGAAAUCACGGUUUGCUCCAGUUUUCUUUUGUGUUUUAAAUGUUCAUUCUUAUGCUUGAUGAAUUGAAACUUUGCAUGUAAGUCAGAUUAACUGUUAUAAUGGUUUGUAUGAUUGCGACCUUUUUUAGGCCCAAGAAGCAGAUUAAGAGGUCUGACAAUACAUAGGAAUAUGGAACUUUGGCAAGCAAAUAUCAGUCACUUUUCCAAUUUUAAGUCAGAAAUUUAUACUAGAUGUCACUUAUGUGAAAAAUGAAGAAAAGGAAAUUUUUUCUUUGUACAGCUUUGCGGACAUUUUUAUUUGUCAAGCAUGGCAAUUUUCAGAUUUAUGUUUUGUAGCCAAGUGUAAAUUUAUAAACAUGGUAACUAAGCUGAAAGCCACAUCUGCAGCUAAACAGAGUCAAUCUUAUGCUUUUAUCCCUGUGGAAGUGCUUAUUUUUUUAUAUUUGUCAAGAUUUUAAAAUGCUAUAUUCACUUAGUCAAUUGCUGUUCAAGAACCACUUUCAAUUUGUGUCUGUGAAUAUGCUUUUGUUGAUGUUCUGCCAGAGAGAAGCCAAUUGACUUUUGUUUAACAUGCUUUGCAUCCCCAAAGUAUGCUGGAAGACACCAAUUACUCCACUAUCCUGUUUCACCUUCUGCUUUGCAGUUGAGAUCCACAAUAUUGUUCAUUUACCAAGAAAGGAAGCUUUUAAAUCGUCUCUGAAAAAAUAUCCUCCAAGUCCCAGAAAAUCGUGCAAUAUUCGAUUGCAAAUAUAUUGAUGGUGCAACUGUCUUUGGCUCACUAUAGAUGGAGAUACUGUCAUGAUAUAUCACUUUAUACAAACACUCUAUUUCUGUGUAACAGAUAUUUAUGCCCUAAAUACAGUAGAAAGGCCAUUUGUUAGAGCAUUAAUUAACUGUAUCUAAUCUACUAGUAGUUGUGGUACUAGAUGUAGGAGAAAUGGAAUAGAUGAAAUUUGGUCUCAUUCAACUUUAGGACGAGAUUGAGUUUCAUAUGCUGUGCAAUUGGUUCAGAAGUUGCAUGGUCUAGGAGUUUGACAUAGUAAUUUAGAUGACGAUAAUACUGGUUGUGAUACUAGAUGCAGGAGAAAUGGAAUAGAUGAAAUUUGGUUGCAUUCAACUUUGGAGGAGAUUGAGCUUCAUAUGCUGUGCAAUUGGUCCAGAAGUUGCAUGUUCCAUGAGUUUGACAUAGUGUUUUAGAUAAUGAUAAUACUUGUGUUGAAAUAUAUGUACCAGCAACUGAUCCCAAAAAGGAAAAAGGGAAAAAGAAUUGUUUAUAUGUGCACAAAUAUUGUUGCCUGAUUAGCAUAUUACUAUACGUUGUAUGACCUUCUUUAAGAUAUGAUGACCUGUGCUUUGUCUUUAAUUUGAGAUGUCCUAUCUUGUUGAAAUUCGAUAUGCCAUUUCUGUCCCCCCUUGUGGCUUCUCUUCUUGUAGUGCAUUAAGCAAUGUGGGCAGUCAUUAGUUGACAUGCAUGGUUCAAGUUGUCCUUUUUAUAAACAUUUGUGGAACUUUUUCUAUGCUGUUUUAGUGUUUAGCCCAGAAACAGUAUUGCUUGAUUUCUUUAGGAUUAGAAAGAAAUUUUCUCAAAAUACAUUGACUCAGUCCAUCACAGAGUUGAACAAAAUCAAACAAGAUUGGUCAGAUACAAGUUUUGCUUUGUUUAUGAAAAACCAAGAAUGCCAAAUGAAUCAUAUUGUUGUUGCAAGAAGAGCUAUUUCAACUAUUUGGGUUAAAACAAUUUCCUUUCGAGCACUAACCUUUAGUGGCAGCUAAUUACCACUACAUCUUUGAUGUUAUUGGCUUGAUGUGUAUUUGAUCGAAAUUGCACCACUGCAAUGAACUAUGUACUUCGGCCACGUACAUUUAGAUUUCACUUGUCUUGGGACAAUUAAUACUGAACGAGCUUUUUAUAAUAGCAUCUGUUCCUUCAAAUUCUCUUUUUCCUAGAUAGGAGAGCUUAAAAAACUGGUUGAAGAGGGUAAGAUAAAGUACAUAGGUCUGUCUGAGGCCUCAGCUUCAACAAUUAGAAGAGCACAUGCUGUUCAUCCUAUAACAGCUGUACAGCUCGAGUGGUCAUUGUGGACCAGAGAUGUGGAGGAAGAGAUUAUUCCUACUUGCAGGUAUGGGAGUUUUCUGCUUUACUAUCUUUAGGGUGUGCAAAGAAUAUGCUACUCUAACUCAUUUUUCUACAAUCUUUUAGAGAACUUGGCAUAGGAAUUGUGGCUUACAGUCCACUUGGACGAGGAUUUUUCUCAUCAGGUGCAAAGUUGAUGGAGAAUUUGGCUGAUGGUGACUUCCGAAAGGUUUGUGCACAUUCAUUAUGAUCAAGUGCAUUUUACUAUAGAAUGUCUAUGGUUAGUACGAGUCUGUCAUUUAUCUACUUAUAUCACAUUCACUAACUGUCUUGCUUGAUGUUCCUACCCUUUGUCUAUUUGCUGUACUUUCUGAACUUUUCAAAAUACAAUAGUUUGGUUAAACCUCCCUUAUGCAAUCAAAGUUAUUGAAAUUUCAACGGAAGAGAAGGACAAAGCAUGUCUUUUGACAUUGUUGUGCGUAUUCUACAUGCUAGCCUAAUUCAAAGGCACAUUACAAUUUUGUCAGCUUAUGAUAAUAGCUUAAGAGUACUCUUUGUUAACCAAAGGAACUUCCCUUGGUGAGGCUCAUUCAAAUCAAGAGUGAUUUUUUAAGGCAAAGGAGUUAGGCAACGAGCUGUAUCUUGUGGGCCAAGGUGAAGCCUCAAGGCAUAGGCAUAAGGACUUGCAUUUAUUAAAUUACUAUUAAAACUGGAGAUAUAACCUUUAAAAUACCUACCAAGUUAUAGUUGGAGGGUCUAAACAGGUUUUAGCACCAUUUCCCUUUCCUUAUUAGAUAAGCAUUUCAAAAGGAUCCACCAUCUCUCUGGGUGAAGGUGUAGUUCCUAUCAAUGUAUAUCCUUCAACCUUGUAAAGGCUUUAGGUCUAGUUCUGUAAGUGAUAGUACUGAUUGAAGUGCUAAUCUUCCAGAUGAUACAUUGGGAGCUAAAAAGCACAACAGUUAGCUCACUAACUUAUAAUCAGAUGACUGCAACUAAUGUCCAGGGAUCAUAGUUUGAGCCAUUUUCGCAUGUUGUAACUCUCACAAAUUUUCUAGCAAGAGCUUUGAAUUACGCAGCCAGCCUAAAUGCUUAUGGCAUGCAUAAUAGAUGACAUCCACACCCCCAAAUUGACUCCCAAAACAUAUUUAUGUCUUAAGGUAACAAGUCCGACUUUGGGUUAAAUGUAUGCCUGACAUAUAGUUGGCCUCACUGUCCCUAACUAGGAAAAAAGAAGAUACUUUGUUAACAGGUCUCCUUGCCAACAUUUGCCAAAGCUAAAAUCUUGAUUUGAUUUGCAUACUAUAAAACUGUGCUUCAACUUGUUUAACAUGUUUCUUUUCCAGUCCUCUUGUCCUGUGCAAUGCUAGAGUAAUCAGUGCUUAUAUAACACUUCUUAACUUGCUAACUUUUGACUUUUUCAUCAAUUCAUACUCGAUUAAUACAGACAGCUUGUUUCCUUUAUGGUAAGGUGCUUGACUUUCUUAAUAAGUAGCUUGAAGAAAGUUAAAGUCACUUUUAAGUAAAUGCUUGUUAAACUUACUAGGGCCUAUUCGCUCUGGCAAUACGUUCCAGAGUUGUGCCUCCUAUAGGUUCUGCAAUUAGAAAUAUACUAGAUGAAGUGUAGGAAAAUCUUAGAAGAGUGAGUCAUCUUUUUUAUGUUAAGCUGUAACUCAGUUAUGAUGAUUAACCUACAUGACUGGAUUAAUAUAUUUCUCAAGUAAUAUUGGUUUCUAUGUCUUGGUAUCUUUUCUACAUUCUGCAGUAGAUAUUGCUGACUUUGGAAUAAUGAGAGAACCUAGCCGAAUUCAUUUUUGUCUUAACUUGCACAGUCCCAUCAUUCCCCUGAAGCUAUGUAAGUUGAGUUUACCAAGCUGCAAAUUUGUCUGCUUUAUUCCCAUCUGAAAAUACUUGCAUAACUGUUUAUUGGUUUUUUUCCUUCUGAAAAUGCUUGCAUAACUGUUUAUUGAGAAAUUUUAAAUUUUAUGUGAUGCAGUUUUUGCCAAGAUUACAACCAGAAAAUGUUGAGCAUAACAAGAGCUUGUUUGAGCGCGUUAAUGACAUCGCUUCAAGGAAGGGUUGUACCCCAUCACAGCUAGCAUUGGCAUGGGUCCAUCACCAGGGAAGUGAUGUUUGCCCCAUACCUGGCACUACCAAGAUUGAGAACCUGAAAGAGAAUAUUGGAGCUUUAUCUGUAAAACUGUUAGCAGAGGAUCUUGCUGAGCUUGAAUGCCUUGCUUCAUCUGGAGUCAAGGGUGAUAGAUAUGGGUCCGGCACUGCCACUUGGCAAAAUUCUGAUACUCCACCUUUGUCAACAUGGAAGAGUGCAUGAAAACGACCUUUGUUGUGGUGAUAAUUCUUAUAACCAUCUGCCUGAUGGUCCAUUUUCAUUGCUUUGAGGGUUUAAUAGCUUUGUUCCAAUAAAAAGUUAAUCCUUGUGGUGACCACAGAUUCUGUAUUUGAUUAAAGAUUGGGUCGUGUGAAAAAACUGGUUGUUCUUGUACCAGGACAUGCUGAGUAUAUCUUUUGCAGCUCUUGAAUGAAUGGAUAUGAUGUUUUAUCCUUUGUAUUCUAUGUGUGUAUAUCUGUAUGGACCCCUUAUGUCGACCAUAUAGCUGCAAAAAUGAUGCCUGUGCUACCUGUAUGAAACCUGUGAAGGGCUCUAUGUUUAAUGAGUAAGAAGUCCAUUUACUAGACAAAAACAAUGACACAAAAUGUGACCAAUAAAAUUGGAAUAAAAUAGUGCAUAGAGAACUCGAAAUGUAAAUGCCAUAGAUGACAUCUGUAGACUUUAAACAAAUUGGAAAACAUCUGAAUCUCUCUCAUUUUCUAUGCACAGUCGUAUUCUUUUCAGAAGAAGUGCGGAUUCAAUUGAAUAUCAAUGGGAAUAAAAUUAGAGUCAUCAGAAUGGGAAAAAAGGCAAGAAAAGAAAAGGAAAUGAUCGUACUGAGCUGAUAUUGAAGUGUUUUCUUUUGGCUGUAAAUCCGUAAUUGCAAGCUCAUUGGAGCCAAGAACAGAGGAUGAUGAAUUCUUUGGUUCAGCAGGUAGAAGCCGAGUAAAAGAAGGUGAUUCUUUCACACUUCAGUAGUAGUGGGAAGCUUUGUACAGUAGAUGUUGCCACAGACACACCAUGAAGCUGUAAGCAGCCGCACACCAUACAAAAAGUCGUGACUUUUAUUUCUGAGUCCACAGUGGUAAGUGAUGAGGUGAUUUCCGAAUGGUUGGACCGAGUCAAUCUUGAAGAAGUGACUUUCGGCUGAAAGACCUAGUUGAAGGAAUUCACCUGUCAGAUCUGCAAUGUAUGGGGCUUUAUCCUCCGACCUUACUUCGACAAUUAAGUCAGUUCGGAUAUUCAAUCUCAAACUAAAAGUGGUUUAAGAACCUCAAGUAUGUGUGUUUGUGAGUCCAUACCUUUCCUACGGAUGGGAGGGUAUUUAUAGUGGACAGAACGGUGUGAAAAAUGAUGAAUUUUAAUUUCCAUGGAUCUGAGACUGACGGGGACAGUGUUAGGCUUAAUAGAUAGGACAUAUCAAUGAUCAUGCCAUUCUGUCAUAUCACUGUCAUGUCAUUCCAUCAUGUAGAAGUAAGCUUUUCUAGUGCGAUGUCAGGUGCUAGAAAGUGGAACGGUUCGGCUACCAUUGGAAGACUGAGGUCAGCUCCAUGGGAGAGGCAACGAGCCGAGGUGGCAUAGGCCCGAGAGGGUUAUCUUGACCAAUCACUUAACCGAGAAGGGCCGAAAUGACGGCCCUCAGUAAGUAUUAUCUAAUAAAGGAAAUUGGCAUUGAUAUAGUUGCAUAUGGUCCUCUCGGCAAAGUGUUGUUCAUAGUUGGUGCAAAGGUACUUGUGAACAUGACCAGCAAUUGCUUUACUAUUGUGGGGGUUUGUGCUUGAUAGGCUUGUACCUUUACAGUUAUACUGUGACAUAUAGAAGUAUUUUCAUAAAAAUGGUUGAGUUUCAUUUUUCGCUCCAUGCACGUUUUCAUAUAUUGACUUCAACAUUUUGUUUCUUUUUUCAUCUUCAUCAAUUCCAUGAAUUGUCAUUGGUCGAUAACAUGGUUUCUUCUGUUUGAGUUUUAUUAUCUUCAACAUUGUGUUCCCAGUUUUUCUUCUCAGUUUUCAUCAGUUCCAUUAAUCUUGUCACAGUUGAUAACAUGGUUUCUUCUAUUGAGUAGCAUAUGCUAUCUGACUGCAGUAAAUUCUCUUAGGACGGUUGACCACACAAAAGAAAAGAUUCCUGCCCAGGCUCCCUAAUAGAAUGUUUAAUCGAUCCAUUGCAGAUCGACCGAAUUGGUGCAGAAGUUGUAAAACUUUCUACUGCACAUUCCAAGGGUGGUGCACUAAAUCAAAUAAACAAGUGGAAAACAAACAUACAUAAUUGACUAUCCGUAAUAGUGAAAAAAAUGCAGGUUUCAUUUAAGAGUGGAGAUAUUUGAUGAUAGUGUAGAGGCUAUCAUUGCUGUCUUUGAAGAACAAGCAGAAUUGCUGAUUGGUUGUAAAGCAUCUGAAUCCAUACAAAUCUGUAAGCGACCAAGUACAGUCCAAGGCAAAGCAAGUAAUUUUAGUUACACACAAUGUAUGAUUUAAAUCAUAACUGCUUACAUAUCUUUAAAACAUUCAAUUCAGGGAAGAGACAAUACAGCUUAAUACAAAACUAUGAUGGCUUCGAAGUUCGAGAUUUCUCGAUCAGACCAAAACAGAUAACAGGAGAUGCAGCUGGAAAGAUGUCACCGAUAGCGAAUGCAUUGCAGAAAAUUGAAGAAAUCACCAAAAUAGAGCUGUCUGUUAAAAGAUGUUGAUGACAAGGAAGCUUUCACGUCCAGUGAUCCAACAAAUCCAAUCACUAUUGAAGAUGAUGACAACCCACUGGUUGACUUCAAGAAAAGCAGUCCUGGAAAAUGGGAAGUAUGACUGUUGGACCUAAGGGACUCAAAAAUGUCAAGGUAGAUACAAUGCUACAUGUUUAAGUUUCUUUGCUUUCAGUUCUAUUUUCCAUUUGCUGAGUGCUUCUAAGUUUGAUUCCACAAAAACACAAAAGGUUUAACUCCUUUGAUAUUGUGCAUGCUUACUUUUCACAACGCUAAAUUCAUAGCUCUUCAACUUUUGGCAAAGUAAAAUUAAAACCCUUCCUUGCAAUUCAACAUGCAACGCACAUUCUCAAUUACUAGUACUACCAAUGAUCCUACAUGCAGCUGCACUUGUUCUCUUCUAAUUUAAUGUCCAAUUGCCAACGAACUUCUCGAGCAAAUCUGGCUUAACAAACAAACACGAAGCAAGCGUGAUUUGCUGCCCUCAAUUCUCAUGCUCUGUUGCAAAAUUAGACUUUUCUGUUGAUAGAAUUCAAGUAGGCAUAGUAAAUAAGAAAAGAAGUUUAGUAUGUUUGGACAAGAGUUUAUUUGAAAUGAUUAUUGUAACACACACUUUUUGUGACGUGAUAUAUGUGAGAUAAAAAAAUUGUUAGAAAAAUAAAAAUGUGUUAUGUAAGCAAAUAAUUUCCAUGCAAAUAAUGGCUAUCCAAACACAAUGUUUGCAUUAAAAAUGUUAUACUUUUCUUUUUUAUCUUUUCCAAAAUUUCGGUCACUUUUCAAAUAAAAAAGUAAAGUGAUUUGUUUUGUUUUUUCUGAUUUUACCCUCAAGAGACAAGCCUAAAUUUUGUGGUUGUGUGGCCAAGAAAUGACAAUCAAAUCAAGAGUUGGGUAAGCACAUUGCAGGUAGCAACCGUCCAAAAACGGCCACGAUUUGUUAAAAAAAAAAAAAAUGUAUCGCUCAAAUUACAGCUUGUAUGUCAAAUUUAAUAUUGUGUGUGGGAUCUAAAAAUUCUGUUCUAUUUUUACGAAUUGUUUCGGCCUAAACAAUUUUUUUACAACCGUUUUGGACCUUGGUAGUUGGUCCAUCAAAUCAUAUGUCUACAUUCUAAUUGCACGGAUGAAAUAAACAUAAGGCGUCAAAACAGCAAAUACAUCCCUUUGGAUUGCUAAUGCCAACAUCGGCAAGUUUAAUUUCUGUACGUGGCGUCCUGAAAAGUUUUGGGUUAGACUUUCACCCUUAAGUAAGAGUCGGACUUUACGGUACUUUCCGGAUCAAAUCUAAAUUAGUUUCACUAAAGGGUGGAAACACUAGAUACUCAAAGCAACUCCCAAGUAAGAGUCAGAUUCUGCAAGGGCUCUCCAGUCGAAUCCGGAUUAGUCUCGUUAAACGUGAAAAUACUGGAUGCUCAGAGGAAAAAAAAAAAUUACGUCCCUUCGGGGACAUCCGAUAAAAGUCAAAUCAGCAGAUACGUUAGUGUCUUACUUGCCUAAAUUUUUGGCUUGGACAUUUUGAACACCUCUUGUCAUUGUGGGUCCAUCAAGAGCCCCUACUCAUAGUAUCUUUUUUUUUUGGGGUCAAAACCCUACUUAUAGAAUCAAAAUUAGGAUAAUUUCACACCAUGUGGAAACACUUCGGGUAAAAAGUACAAGUCCUACGAAAUUUUUUUGGAAUAGAAGGAGUACAAAUUUAGGGGUGAAGGGUGGAAAUAGUCUUGGAAAUCUUGAAGCAAAGUAUAAAGAGAUCAAGUAUUUAAAAACUAUCAUGCAAGCAAACAAUCAAGCGAAUUUAGUAAAAGCCAGUUGAAAAGAAUCAAUAGUAAAACAAGAGCUCCUGAAAAAUAAUUUAGCCUUAAGUAUGUUGGUAAAAGUCACAAGCGCAAAAAAUAGUUAGAUGCAUUUAAACUCUAUAAUAGUUAUUAUUCACACUCCUUUCCUUUCUAACCAUUUUUCACUUAUGAAACGAUAAAUUUAAUAAAAAGAAAAAAAUAGUGAGAAGAGUGUAAAUAAUAAUUUUGGGAGUGCCAUUAAUGUUUUUCUUCUGCAUGAGGUGAAAUAUCAGUAACGAGACAAGAUUUGAAAGGUUUUGAUUUUCAAACCUCUAAGCGUCCAUUGCAGUUUUAUAAGAUGUCUUAGCCAAAAAAUAAAGGAAAAAGAAACAUAAAAAAAAAAAACACGAUAAUUAGUCACGUGUAGGCCUCCUUGGGUUAGAGUCGUCAACUUUAAGAUUCGUUUGGAAUUGCGGUAGGUUAUUAAAAAAUAGUUUUUUAAUAUAGCUUUUAAUAAAAGUAUUUAUUAGACGUUUGGAGACAUAGUUCAAUAAGUGCUUAUUGUAUUGGAUAAUAUGUAAUUUGAAAAUUUUUAAAUGUAUUUAUCUCUUUAUUUAGUUUAUAAUAUAUGAUAAAAUGAUAAAAUUUAAUAUUUUAUUUUUUAAAUUGCAAAAACUACUCUAAAAAUAUCAAAUUUGAAUUUUUAAUAAAAGUGUUUUUCACACCAAAAAUUCUAUUUCUAAUUUCAUGGGAUGAUAUUCAUAAAUAUUUUUAAAGUACUUUUGACACCUAAAAUAUUUUUUUAUUAGAAAAAAACCGCAACCUUGAAUGGGACCUUUGUUGUGUUGAAGAUGAUGUGGCAAAACUCUAAAGUCACCCGAAAAAGUUCGCCACGGUACCAUAACAUAGAAAAUGAAAGCAAAAUGACAAAAAAAAAAAAAAAAGAAAAGAAAAGAAAUUGCUGACCUUUGCGCUUACAGCAUCCAAGUCCCAAUCAAAUGAACCAUAAAUUAUCCCAUGGAUUUUGUCUUGUCCCUUUUUUUGUUAUAAAAAGAGAAUUUCAUUAACUGAUUACUGAAAAUCGUAUAGCAUGAUUUGAUUUACAUCAUUGAUGAUAGGUUAAACAUACAUUACAAAUUAUAAAUGUGCAAAAUUUAAUAAAUGCAAAAAAUUAUGAAAAGAUAAAAAAUACAAAAAAAUUUAAAAUUAUCUUCUAAGAAAAUAAACAGUUGCAACUCCCUUCUAUGUUAUUGGCUUAUUGCAAUCGCCAGAUUUUAUCUUGUCUUAGUUACUGGUUGAGAAAUACAUACAAAUCGCACACAAAACAGUCACUUCCUAUUUCCUAUUACAAUUAAAGAAAGAUGCUACUGAAAUGCGUUAAAAAAAAGUACUGAAAUUGACGUAAAGUUGUUGGGUGAGAGAGUAAGGCUGUUUUGAUAAUAAACUACCUACAAAUCCAGUCAGUAGUAUUGAAGUCGGUAAUAGUAUAGGUUUAUUUAUUUAUUUAUUUUUUCACAAUUGUCCCAUGACCUAGAACUCAAAAAUUAUAAUAAAAAAUUACGGGAGAUGAACUUCAUCGAACCAAUGUAGAAGGGGAGACAAUUUACACAUAUAGAAUAUGUGUGAGAGAAGAGCAAUAAUACCAAUAAUAAUGUAUUAAUUAUACACCAUAAUAACAAGGCUAUCAAAUUUCACUUUUCUCAACUGAUGACAAUAAUAAGAUUUCUUAUUUAUAGGCUAAAUAAUUUAGUAAACAAGUUUUACAACUAUAAGAAAUUUUCUAAUAAAAUAUUAAUUCCUAAACAAUAAAACUACUAUAACUUGAUUUAGAAUUACUAAAAUUUUAACUUCACUAACCACCGCUAAAUAACAAUAUAGAACCUUCUAUUUUUUUUUAGGGUUGAUUUAGUAUGCCGACAUUGUUUUCCUUAAGUCAAUCUCUCCCAAUUCUAGUUCAACACAAUCAUGAAUAAUAAUCUCUUUUGCAAAUUCUACAAACGUCAAUUUGAAUUAUUCAUCUUCAAGAUUUCGUUGUUGCAAUAUUCCACGCACCUGAACAAAUUUAUCUCGUUGCACAAUUUUCUUUUGACUCGCUAAAAUAAUUCACACUUUUUGGAUAGAUUGUUUUCGUCGCACAAUUUGAUGCCAAUUUAUUGACAACUCAUUUCGUCACAAUUCAAUAAACAGGAUUCUUUUCCGAACUCCAUCUUCACAUAGUCAAUUUGACAAUUUGGAUCUAAUCUUCACCAACUAGAUACUCCACGACCAGCCUUAUGGUCCAACUCAAGCAAUUGACUUAUUCAUAGCAACUAUUAUGCUCUAACUCUGAGAGAAGAAAACACUCAGGACUAAUCUCAUAGCUGGGACAAUUUUUCAAUAUCUACAGGCAUCUCAAGAUCAAUUUAUUGAAUCUAGAAUUCUAAUACCAGAUAUAAAACUCAAAUAUUAUAAUAAAAAACUACGAGAUAUAAAUUUCAUCGAACCAAUGUAGAUAAGGGGGUAAUUUACACACAUAAAAUAUGUGUGGGUGAAGAGGAAUAAUACCAAUAGUAAUAUAUUAAUCAUACACCAAAAUAAUAAUAAUAACACUAUCAAAUUUUACUCUUCUCAACUGACAACAAUAAUAAGACUCUCUAUUUAUAAACUAAAUGACUUGAUAAUCAAGUCUUAAAAGUUUUAAAAUCAUAAGAAAAUUUCUAAUAAAAUACUAAUUUUUAAACAAUAAAACUAUCAUCAUUUGAUUCUAAUAGAAUUACUAAAAUAUUAACUUGACCAAAACAUGGUUAAAUAAUAAUAUAGAACUUUGUGUGUUUGGAUUGCAAUUUUCUGGAAUUUUUUUGUAAAAAACGUAUUGUGAUUUGAUAUAUAUAAGGAAAAAAGGUGAUUGAAAAAUAUAUUCACGGAAAAUGUAAAGUUUUUUUUUUUUAUAAAAAAAUCCCUGUCCAAACAAGGAGGCUUGAUUUAGCAUGUGAACAUCCCUUAAUGCACGUGUUGAGGCAUCAAGAAAGUAUUUAUACUAAAUGGAGAAUCACUGUUCACAGGAAUAGGAAUGGCAACGGGGAGUGUUUAGGGCUAGGGAGGGCGGGGGCCUGCCCUCCCCUGCCCCAUUGCCCACUACUUCCCCCCGCUCCCCCCGGUCCCUUGCCCCUCGCUCCCCCACCCCGCCCCACUUUCUCUGUGGGAUUAAUAAAAAUUUAGCAUAUAAUUUUUAAUCAAAAUUUAGCAAAUAAUUAAGUACUAAAAUAUCAACACAUCACCAAAUCAUUAUUCAUUGUAAUUUUACAAUUGAAAUCCAUAAAAACAAUCAAACAAAAAUUAUUUGAAUACAAUCUAACAUGAUAAAGUAAAUACAAUUAAAGUAGUCAAAAUUUUCACUUUUCUAAUAAAUACAAUCACUAAGUCAUUAUUGUAUUUUUUGAGAAAAAAAAUAUUAUUGUGUUAAGUGUAAUUAGAAAUUUAGUAUAAAUAUAUUAAUAAAUUGAAUAUAACUAAUUAAUAAUUUCUAUUAAUAGAUAUGUAUAAUUAUUAAUAUAAUUGAUAAUAUUAAUUAUAUUACAUAUACUAAUAUACAUUAUAUAGUAUUUAUAAUUAAUAAUAUCAUUAUUAUCAAUUUGUAACUACUUAAAUUAUAUAUUAUAUAUACACAUAUAAAUAUAUAUAUUUUGUAGGUGGCAGGGUGGGUAAUGGAGCAGGGGUAUAUUCCCCUGCCGCCGCCCUGUUUCUUAACGGGGAAAAAAAUUCCCCCGAGUCUACCCCACCCCCGUUCCAACCCUUUUUCAUUAGCCCCGCACGGAUAUCUACCCUAAUUCUCAUUCCUACGUAGGAAUUGCGCCUAUAGGCUGAUUUUGCGUGAUUCCAUAGCUCAACGCCAUCUAAUUAUAACACUGGUGUGUUCAUAGGAAGGUAUGCAAAUUUGCCGAUUUUACUGGAUUCUACAACUCAAUGUCAUUGAUUAUCCUAAUGUGUUCAUUGAAAGGUGCGUUCUGAAGAAGUAGCUUUUGACCAGAUGAGCUGCUCCAGAUAUCGAGAGCGUCGCCGGAUUGGUGGAGUAGCUAAUCAAGGAUCACCUGCUUGAAUUGUCAGAGGCGGGGCUGAGUCCCCCGGUCUUCCUCCGAAGAUUAAGUUAGCUUAGUGGUAUACUAAUAUGGGAGUAGUUUUAGAGAGAUAAAGAGUAGACUCUUUCCUUUACCCAAGAUUCGUUCCCUUUCUCAGUGGGAUGUUCGGCUAUUUAUAGGAGACAGUUUGGACGGUGGGGUCCAGGUCCCUAGAAGACUGAUAGAGACAGCAUAUCACCUUGAUGUGAUCAAUCUGUACAGAGAGCAGGGUGUCAGAACAAUGCGCAGUGUCAGGGGUCACAUCCACGACUGUCACACCUCGGUUAGUGUGAGUCAUAGGACUGGAUUGAGGUGAUAGCGAGGUGACGAAGUCACCUCGGUCAUCAGGAUGUUAGCCGAGAUAGUUACGACGGGGGAAUGAUCAUUCCGAACUGGGGUACCCUACAGCUUCCCCGAGGCGGAAUGGCCAUCCUCAAUAAGCCCCCCAAACCUCGGUAGGGUAUCAGUUGCUGGUAGCUUGCCGAGGCUUUUGCAGGGAAAUGACGAGAAAGCCCCUGGAUGCUAUAAUGAUAACGCGCAAAAUACGAAGAGUCAGGAGAAUGAUGGGACAACUGUCUGACAAAUUAAUGAAACGUGAAUUGACAUAGGUCAGGAAGAUGGAGGGUUAGGCAACUGUCGGUCAAAAUGGCGGGAGCUAAUAAAUGAGAGAACGCGCCUUCCUGUGUAAGUUCAACGUACAGGCCUUCGGUUUUCCUCCCCCUUUUAUAAAUAAGGGGUCCUCUUGUCACUUUCCACCCUUCUUCGCUUUUUACUUCUUACCAUUUGCCCAUGUGAACAGCUUCCCGACUUGGCGCUACAGCAGAAAACUCAAAUCUUCUUAGAAACAAUAAGUUCGUCUCUUUUCCUUAGCUAAUGGCACGCACAGCCCGUACUCAUAAGGAAAUGGUGAGGCCGGACUUCACUGGGGCAGAAAGGCUCGAUCCAACCCAGGAGGGGGAAACUUCGUCUAACCCCGGGGAAGAGACCUCGUCUCACCCCGGGGAAUCUACAACCGGGGCAUCUUAUGAGGCCGGGACUCCACAAGUACAAAGCUCAGGAGAAUCUGAGGUGCUUUAUAAUGAUGAGCUUGGGACCGAGGUGCCACAUGACGAGGGAGUGCUUGAAUCAGCUACCCCUUCGGAUCUUUCCGCCAUCGACUACGGCCAAGUCUCCAUGUUCAAUAGCAUCAUGUGUGAAGCCCUGACGGUGGCAUUGGUCUUCAAAUACCCCUUCCAAGGUGAUUACAGUAUUCGUCCACCCGGUCCGAAUCAAACGGCAGAACAUCCUCCGAAGGGAAGGGUGGCCAUCUAAGCAGAACAACUGGAGGGCUGAGCUUAGAAUGCCGACCACCAGCCCAACUCGUUCCCAAUGCAGUCCGGGUCCCGGUCGAUUUUGAGAUGCUGUGCCGACAUCAAGAAAUAGUCCCCACAGUCAACCUCUUCCGCCGAUAUUAUACUAUCAAGAAUAGCAGAAGCAAGAAGAGGUGAUUCUACUUCGGGAAUGUAGACACCAAAAUUUUACUCUUUUAUUUAUUUAUUAUUUUUGUUUUAAUUUAUCUCAUAAUUUCAUCUUAGACAUUUUUUAGCAUUUUGGACACCAAGUCUUUUAAUUUAGUUUUAUUUGUUAAUUUGACUCAUUUUUUUGCUUAUUUGUCCAUUAAUUUUAUUUUAAGACAUUUAAGCAUUAAGAUUUUUUGAAAAAAUAUUCUUAAAAUUUUUUAGAUGCAAUUUAUUUAUUUUGUAAAAAAAGGAAAAAAAAAAAGAGCCCAUGCACCAUGCUACACUUGAUCCAAGCUCCUUCUCAAUAUUUCAUUUCAAGGCAGUAGCAUGAAACGGAAAAGAACAGAAAUUUGCAGCAGUUUCUUUGAUCCCAACCUUAUCCAAAAACUGCCAUCCAAUGGCUCAGAUCUUUGGUAAUAAUCUACCCUUCAUCCUCACCUUUGAGGUGAGGGUUUUAGGGACUUAGGGAUUCCUAUAAAAGGAGGAGCCGCAGCAAGAAGCAAGGGGGGAGCAGCUAGGUUUAGAAAAAACAUAGCAGGAGUGAGGAAUAGAAAAAGCUUAUGGUAAAAAGAAAGAGAAAACUGGGAAAGACGCAGCUGGGGGGUUGGCGGCUGAAGGGGGAGGGCUGAAGAAAGAAAAUAUGGAGAGGGAAAAGAAAAGUGUUUGGGGGAGAGUUGAGGGCCGAGAGAGGUUUUGACGGCUGAACGGAGAGAGAACUAGAGAGAAACGAGGAAAAGAGAGGGACUCUCGUGACAACUGAUGAAAGAAAGAGUGUGACGGCUAGGGUUGAGGAAAAGAGGGAGCUGGAAAAAGAGAGCUUCGGCUGUGAGUUUGAGGAGGAAACCAAGAGAGGGAAGACUAAGACUAGAAGGAGGAGUUGCGAGAGAAAAGGAACUGAAGCAGGAAGCUUUGGACAGGAAAACAGACGAAGAAAAAAGGGGAGCUACUGACCCUUACGAGAAGCCGUGAUCACUUCAUCACGCCAUCAUCAGUCGCAAAUCUUCACCGAGAGAGAGAGCACGAGCGCUGUAAGUUAGUCUUGUCCUUCAAACUUCAGUAUAUCUUCACGCACAGAUGCUUGAAGCUGUUGAAGCAUGUAUUCAGUAUCUUUGCCUAUGGAAUGUCUACUGUUUUAUUGUUUAUUUUUUCCUUCCUUCUUGUUUCAUGUUCACUAUGAAUCUGUGGCUUUGUUUGUGAGUAAAAAGGCUGAGUCUUUUGGCUGCCAUAGCUAUGUAUUGAAAUCAUGUGUUUGAGAGCUUGCGAACCAAAAAAGCCAUCAGUUUUUUUUCAUGAAAAUGAAUAGGUGGGAGCCAUGGGUUGUGAGUUUGUUGUCAUGGUUGGGCUUUAAAAUGUUUUCUCGAAGUUUUGAGUUAGUGGUCAGUGGAGUAGAUGUUCAUAAUCACUUUGUAUUGCUGCUGAACUUCGUUUGGGAUUAGGAGAACCUGUUCCAUUGCUUUGUUGCAUUUCAUUUUUCAGGGGCUUUAUUGAAUCCUCCCUCUCCCCUUUGUCCCAAGUUUUUGUGCUGGAGUGAGUUUAGGACCUGUACUGAGUCCCUUCUAGGUCAUUACAUUGGAGCUUAAAGGAGCCAAAAGUCCCUUCGAUCAUACUGCAGCUGUGCGAACAGAUUUCUUUCUUCGCUUAGGUUGCUGAAGUUUGUUUUGGUUUGCUUAACUUUUAGGAUUUGUUUGCUAUUCCUGGGCUGCAUUGGUCUUUUCUCUUACUUUGGUUGUAGCAUGGUGUAGUGGGUGUGUAAUGGACAUGGAUUUCUUUGCAAAAGAAAAUUCCCUCCAAACCUGAAACUAGCAAGGGAAUUGCGGUUUUGAUGUUCCACGUUUCUUUCUCUCAUAUCCUGUUAUGUUUGAGUCAAGUAAAGCUGUAAUGUCUUUGAUUUGUGGUUUGGAUUCGUUUACUUACUUCAUUGAAAUGAUUUAAUUGUGCAUAAAUCACCUUGCUCAUGAUAAAAUGAAUAGCACUAAUCUUGUUUGCUUGAAUCAGAAAUUGAGAAAGUUGUAGCAGCUUUUGUUCUUCAAAUGUUAGCAUGUUUUCUAGAUCAUCUUAUUGCAUUUUGUGUCCUGAAGCCUGUUAGAUUGUUCUCUACCUUUGUUGUAAAUCUCUGCACUUUGUAUUUGAAUGGGUGAAGAUGUUUUUGAGUCUUUGGCAUGAAUGUUUGCCUCAGUCGAAUGAGUAAAAAUUGCAGAAGUAAAGAAGGCUUCAACCUGUUGCAUGUUAAAAUCUGUUGGGGGUAGGUAGUAGCAUUUUGGGGUAAUGGUAACAAUGGGUUAAAUAUCUUAGCACUGGGGUUUGGUGGAUGAACCGAUAAGCUCUGUUUGCAUCACUUCGCAUGAUCAUGUCUCGGUUGCUCAAGAAAAUUGCAGCAAGUUUCACUUUCGGUUGCUGAAAAUUUUCAUUUAUAGGCAAUGGUUUCAGUUUUAAUUUGUUAAUUGGAGUGUUAAAUGUUUUUAAUUGGAGAUGAUUUGAAGUUUUUGUAUGAACUUUGUUUGUCAAAAGUUUACAUACAAUGGUAAAAGCUUGCGGAUGAAUUUGCAGAAGAAUCACAUUAGCUGCCGAAGGUUUUUGUUGCAGAAGCUUGUUUCGUGACUUUUGCAUGGAAUUUGCAUGCAAAAUAAUUUCUACAAAUUUCACUUUAACCUCUUAAUUUUCUCCCUAAUACUACUAUGGCCCGAACAAUUGAAAAAUCAAUCAAUAGGACCCCUCAAACUUUCUUUUUCCUUUCAAUUGGAUCCUUAUUUGGAGAAUAUGAGCUGUUUAGAUGUUUAAGUGUUUUUAUUGAUUCAAUUUCAUUAUUCUUUGUUAAUUAAAAUGAUGCCUUGACCUUUUCUUUAUUUUUGGAGGGUAAACAUGUAAUUUCACUUCAUUAGGGUCCCAACUCAAGGGAGGUACACUCUAUCCCCUUAUUCUUUACAUUAUUUGACCCUACGUGGCCUAUGUGAUGUUACGUGCUUAAUUGCAUGCCUCUUAAAUGUUUUAUUAUUUAUUGAUUGAUUUAUUUAUUUAUUCGCUUUAUUAGCUUUAGUUUGUAUAUUUAUUUUUAGUUCAAUUUUGAUCAUUUGAAAGGCACUUGAAUGCCAAAUUUGUAAUAGUUAGGUAUUUAUUUUAAUUAUUUAUUUAUUUCCCCUUUUAGAUUGUAGUAGGGUUCCCCGAAUGUAAUAGUUAGGGCUCUAUUUGUUUUAUUUGCCUUGUGUAUUUUUGCAUGCCUAUGUGUUAUGUGUUACUCGCUUUCCUAGGGUCUUGCAACUAGAUACCAUGCUUAUGUGUUAUGUGCUAUAUGUGAUUUACGUGUUUACCUGCUUUUAUUAGGUCUUACAUGAUUUAUUUGAUUGUAACUGAUGUGUGACGUCACCACACUAGUCCAAUGCUAGUUGUGGCCAAUUUCUCGAAUCCACACUAGUCCAACGCUAGUCGUGGCCCUUUGUUCCGACUUUUCUCACUGGUCCAAUGCUAGUGGGGAAAUCGUAGACAUGGACUAGUCCAACGCUAGACCCUUAGGAACUAUCCGCACGCUAGAUUAUGAUUGUGUGAUAAAAUCACUUCAUCUCAUGCAUAUUUUCAUUUUUUAGGGUCUUUUAUCACAUUUUGCAUGACAUCCCUUCUUAUACGUAUAUCCCUUCCCCCAUAUUUUUCCUUAUAUAUAUUACUUACCCCUUUGUAUGAAACAUGACAUUAGACUUGCAUUUCAUCUAAGCAUUAGACUUAGGUUAGUACAUUUGCUUGGUUAGACUAGGAAAAGCCCAUUGGAUAUGGGAUAUGGACGAGUUUGGCUUUUCUAAUCUUAGCACGCUCGUAUUCCCUCUAUUAAAGGGAACAUUGAAAGUCACGAGUAUAAGUCCCUCGCACCCAUUAUGAUGCAUUACUUUAGGUCAUACACAUUUGUAUAUUAUUAUUUUCUUUACUUUUUCUUUCUUUCGAGUCUCAUGACUUGCAUUGUUCGUGACUUCUUCGAAGAGUCUUUAUUGGGCGUCACAAUUAAUGUGAUUGGUACCAAGUAAAUUUUGAAGAUACAUUUUGACCCCCGACACCCUCCUAAGUCUAGGGUAUGCAUUUAUAUAGUACAUCCAAAUGUGAUAAAUUUUAGGGGUAAAAUAAGAAAAUCUUUGACUAAAUCGCGCAACUAACCUUGGCUAGGUUGAAAGGGUGCC
This 29528-nucleotide long non-coding RNA is filed under the name Coffea arabica (coffee). RNAcentral's name for it is "long non-coding RNA (CARA_LNC002183)". Lineage: Eukaryota; Viridiplantae; Streptophyta; Magnoliopsida; Gentianales; Rubiaceae. The record is from RNAcentral.